Long non-coding RNA from Eriocheir sinensis (Chinese mitten crab), 1232 nucleotides. RefSeq lists it as uncharacterized. NCBI's taxonomy places the organism in Eukaryota, Metazoa, Arthropoda, Malacostraca, Decapoda, Varunidae. The transcript has 4 exons. The record is from RefSeq and is a predicted model, not a curated record.
GUAGGAGGACACAGAACGGCCUCAGACACCGAAGUUUCGCUUGGGAAAGGAUGAUGAGGCUCAGAAGAGGAGGAGGAGGUGUUCCAUGUGAUGGAGAUUAGACCAAAGACCGCAAAUGAUGCAAGAGAAUUAAUAGAACGUUAAAGGAGCUAUCAUGACAUCUUUGGGUCGUCACCAGGAACAUUUCUGGCCCCUUCAACAGAUAGAACCUUCGAGGAUGCAUUUUUUAAAAGCCAUCCAUAGUUUUGAAGUUUUGAAAAUGACUUCCAGAAGAUGGUGUACAGUAUGUAUCAUGUGCAUCUAGCAUGGCGUGGAAGGAAGGAUAAUUUGUCCGCAGCGAGCAUGAUGAACUUGCGGGUGAGAAACAGAGGAAACGGAAAGUGAGCACGGAAAAGUCUUAUAGGAUUGCAGCUUACCCUUGCCCUCCGUGUGUACCUCACUAACACGUCACCUCUCUUCCUCUCAUUCCGCAGGGUGGCGGCGGGGGUCUGGGGGCAGGAUGGGGAGGCCGCGCACCCCCCCAGCGAGGAAUCCUUUCCAGAGGGGGACAGAAAAUAGAGGCGACUCCCCUCACUCCACCGCUGUUGACGCUGCUGAAGAAGUUAGAAACGCCGUAUUUGAAAGGCGCUCACGACUCCCCUUGUAUAGUUCUCCUAAGGGGCCAGAAGCUACUAGUGACCAAGGACUUGCCCACUUACACCGCUGCCCUCCAACAUCUCUCAUCAUCACCACCACCACCAGCAGCACCUCCAGCCCCACCUCCACCUCCACCACGUCUUCUCGACACCACGGAGAUGAGAGUUCGGAUGGUGGGGGUGAAUGGAUCUGUAUAUUAUGCAUUAGAAGAGGAAGCGAUGCGUGGGGGUAGAGUGGCUGCCCGAGAGUGGCGUGUGUUGGUCUGCCUCACUUACACGGACGGUGACUCCUCGGCGUGCCUCCCGAGGAAACUGUUCCCUGCACUUGGGCCGCAACACAAGGUGGGUCGGAUUCCAGGUCUGCGCUCAACGUUAUGGCGGCGAGACGCGUUUUGCGAGCUCCUCCACGCCUCACGUCUGGUUCCCACUAUUCGCAGCCUCUCCCCCCCAUGCUACGCCCUCCCUGCCCACGCCCACCACCUCUCAGCCGCCGCCCACGCCCUCCCAGACUCCUUCAUGUGGGUGAUAAAGGGCGCGCAUGCAGGGACAGGCGUGGAGGUGGUAAAUAAUAAGAGACUGAUGGACAUGCUGAGAGAU